This 81-nucleotide non-coding RNA is filed under the name Thalassospira povalilytica. Its description in RNAcentral is "Glycine riboswitch". It matches the Rfam family "Glycine riboswitch aptamer", at positions 10 to 85 of the family's 94-position model. From Rfam's summary of the family: This family represents the bacterial glycine riboswitch. Glycine riboswitches usually consist of two metabolite-binding aptamers domains with similar structures in tandem. The aptamers cooperatively bind glycine to regulate the expression of downstream genes. Lineage: Bacteria; Pseudomonadati; Pseudomonadota; Alphaproteobacteria; Rhodospirillales; Thalassospiraceae. The record is from RNAcentral.
ACGGGAGAGCCCGGUUACCCGCAUAACCGGCGCCGAAGGAGCAAUAGCCCCAUAAAACUCUCAGGCAGAUGGACCGUCGCG